AUUGAACGCUGGCGGCAGGCCUAACACAUGCAAGUCGAGCGGAGCGGCGGACGGGUGAGUAAUGCCUGGGAAUCUGCCUGGUAGUGGGGGAUAACGUCCGGAAACGGGCGCUAAUACCGCAUACUAUCAGAUGAGCCUAGGUCGGAUUAGCUAGUUGGUGGGGUAAAGGCCUACCAAGGCGACGAUCCGUAACUGGUCUGAGUGGAUGAUCAGUCAAACUGGAACGGAGACACGGUCCAGACUCAUAGGGGAGGCAGCAGGGGAGAAUAGUGGAAAAUGGGCGAAAGCCUGGUACAGCCAUGCCGCGUGUGUGAAGAAGGUCUUCGGAUUGUAAAGCACUUUAAGUUGGGAGACGUUACCAACAGAAUAAGCACCGGCUAACUUCGUGCCAGCAGCCGCGGUAUA
This 405-nucleotide ribosomal RNA is filed under the name uncultured bacterium. Its description in RNAcentral is "partial 16S ribosomal RNA". It matches the Rfam family "Bacterial small subunit ribosomal RNA", at positions 30 to 524 of the family's 1533-position model. The record is from RNAcentral.